RNAcentral lists this ribosomal RNA (502 nucleotides) under uncultured bacterium. RNAcentral describes it as "partial 16S ribosomal RNA". It matches the Rfam family "Bacterial small subunit ribosomal RNA", at positions 28 to 523 of the family's 1533-position model. The record is from RNAcentral.
GAUGAACGCUAGCGGGAGGCUUAACACAUGCAAGUCGAGGGGCAUCACGAGGUAGCAAUACUUUGGUGGCGACCGGCGCACGGGUGAGUAACGCGUAUGCAACCUACCCUGUACAGGGGGAUAGCCCGGAGAAAUUCGGAUUAAUACCCCAUAAUGAUAUUUUAUGGCAUCAUAAAAUAUUUAAAGCUCAGGCGGUACGGGAUGGGCAUGCGUAACAUUAGUUAGUUGGUAGGGUAAUGGCCUACCAAGGCGACGAUGUUUAGGGGUCCUGGGAGGGUGAUCCCCCACACUGGUACUGAGACACGGACCAGAUUCCUACGGGAGGCAGCAGUGAUGGAUAUUGGUCAAUGGGCGCGAGCCUGAACCAGCCAUCCCGCGUGGAGGAAGACUGCCCUAUGGGUUGUAAACUUCUUUGCCAGGGGAAUAAAAUCUCGAACGAGUUCGGGACUGAAGGUACCCUGGGAAUAAGCAUCGGCUAACUCCGUGCCAGCCGCCGCCGUAA